Molecule: ribosomal RNA, 254 nt
Filed under: uncultured bacterium
Lineage: Bacteria
Description: partial 16S ribosomal RNA
Rfam family: Bacterial small subunit ribosomal RNA
Source: RNAcentral
UACGAAGGGGGCUAGCGUUGCUCGGAAUCACUGGGCGUAAAGCGCACGUAGGCGGGUCGUUAAGUCGGGGGUGAAAUCCUGGAGCUCAACUCCAGAACUGCCUUCGAUACUGGCGAUCUUGAGUCUGGGAGAGGUGAGUGGAACUCCGAGUGUAGAGGUGAAAUUCGUAGAUAUUCGGAAGAACACCAGUGGCGAAGGCGGCUCACUGGCCCGGUACUGACGCUGAGGUGCGAAAAGCGUGGGGAGCAAACAGG